ACGCUGGCGGCAUGCUUUACACAUGCAAGUCGGACGGCAGCACAGAGAAGCUUGCUUCUUGGGUGGCGAGUGGCGAACGGGUGAGUAAUAUAUCGGAACGUACCGAGUAAUGGGGGAUAACUAAUCGAAAGAUUAGCUAAUACCGCAUAUUCUCUGAGGAGGAAAGCAGGGGACCUUCGGGCCUUGCGUUAUUCGAGCGGCCGAUAUCUGAUUAGCUAGUUGGUGGGGUAAAGGCCUACCAGGGCGACGAUCAGUAGCGGGUCUGAGAGGAUGAUCCGCCACACUGGGACUGAGACACGGCCCAGACUCCUACGGGAGGCAGCAGUGGGGAAUUUUGGACAAUGGGCGCAAGCCUGAUCCAGCCAUGCCGCGUGUCUGAAGAAGGCCUUCGGGUUGUAAAGGACUUUUGUCAGGGAAGAAAAGGCUGUUGCUAAUACCGACAGCUGAUGACGGUACCUGAAGAAUAAGCACCGGCUAACUACGUGCCAGCAGCCGCGGUAAUACGUAGGGUGCGAGCGUUAAUCGGAAUUACUGGGCGUAAAGCGAGCGCAGACGGUUACUUAAGCAGGAUGUGAAAUCCCGGGCUCAACCUGGGAACUGCGUUCUGAACUGGGUGACUAGAGUGUGUCAGAGGGAGGUAGAAUUCCACGUGUAGCAGUGAAAUGCGUAGAGAUGUGGAGGAAUACCGAUGGCGAAGGCAGCCUCCUGGGAUAACACUGACGUUCAUGCUCGAAAGCGUGGGUAGCAAACAGGAUUAGAUACCCUGGUAGUCCACGCCCUAAACGAUGUCAAUUAGCUGUUGGGCAACUUGAUUGCUUAGUAGCGUAGCUAACGCGUGAAAUUGACCGCCUGGGGAGUACGGUCGCAAGAUUAAAACUCAAACGAAUUGACGGGGACCCGCACAAGCGGUGGAUGAUG
Molecule: ribosomal RNA, 918 nt
Filed under: uncultured bacterium
Lineage: Bacteria
Description: bacterial SSU rRNA
Rfam family: Bacterial small subunit ribosomal RNA
Source: RNAcentral